AAUAGAUACCCUGGUAGUCCAUGCCGUAAACGUUGGGCACUAGGUGUGGGGACAUUCCACGUUUCCGCGCCGUAGCUAACGCAUUAAGUGCCCCGCCUGGGGAGUACGGCCGCAAGGCUAAAACUCAAAGGAAUUGACGGGGGCCCGCACAAGCGGCGGAGCAUGCGGAUUAAUUCGAUGCAACGCGAAGAACCUUACCAAGGCUUGACAUGUGCCAGACCGCCUCAGAGAUGGGGUUUCCCCUUCGGGGCUGGUUCACAGGUGGUGCAUGGUUGUCGUCAGCUCGUGUCGUGAGAUGUUGGGUUAAGUCCCGCAACGAGCGCAACCCUCGUUCCAUGUUGCCAGCACGUAGUGGUGGGGACUCAUGGGAGACUGCCGGGGUCAACUCGGAGGAAGGUGGGGAUGACGUCAAAUCAUCAUGCCCCUUAUGUCUUGGGCUUCACGCAUGCUACAAUGGCCGGUACAAUGGGUUGCGAUACUGUGAGGUGGAGCUAAUCCCUAAAAGCCGGUCUCAGUUCGGAUUGGGGUCUGCAACUCCG
This 539-nucleotide ribosomal RNA is filed under the name uncultured bacterium. Its description in RNAcentral is "bacterial SSU rRNA". It matches the Rfam family "Bacterial small subunit ribosomal RNA", at positions 777 to 1314 of the family's 1533-position model. The record is from RNAcentral.